This is a non-coding RNA of Gadus macrocephalus (Pacific cod), 264 nucleotides long. RefSeq annotates it as small Cajal body-specific RNA 6. The transcript has a single exon. NCBI's taxonomy places the organism in Eukaryota, Metazoa, Chordata, Actinopteri, Gadiformes, Gadidae. The record is from RefSeq and is a predicted model, not a curated record.
GGUCGAUGAUGAGCUUCUGUAAAAGGUCUGACCCCGUCCUCUAGCCCCCCUCUGCUCCCAGCAGCCUCUGUUCUACCCAGCAUGCUCUAGUCGUGCACUGUUGGUUUCUGGAGCUGCUGACACACAGGAUGUGACAUCACAAUCUGAGUCAGUCAGAGAUCCCAUUGGCUCAGUGUGAUGAUUGACAUCCCACAGAACCAAUCCGCAUGGAGCAAGGGGGCGGGGCAGAGGUUGGGGAGAUGAUCACACUUUUGAGCUGAGACC